UACGGCUCAGUAACACGUAGUUAAUCUGCCCUUGGGACGGAAAUAACCCUGGGAAACUGGGGCUAAUACCCGAUGGGCGCAGUGGCCUGGAAUGGUACUGCACCUAAAGGACUCUAGGAACAUGCUCUUGGAGCCGCCCAAGGAUGAGACUGCGGCCGAUCAGGUUGUUGGUGGGGUAACGGCCUACCAAGCCUAUUACCGGUACGGGCCCUGAGAGGGGGGGCCCGGAGAUGGGAACUGAGACAAGGUCCCAGGUCCUACGGGGCGCAGCAGGCGCGAAAACUCCACAAUGCGCGAAUGCGUGAUGGGGUCAGCCCGAGUGCCGUCCGAUGAGGAUGGCUUUUCUCCAGUUUAAGGAGCUGGAGGAAUAAGGGGGGGCAAGACUGGUGUCAGCCGCCGCGGUAAUACCAGCCCCCUGAGUGGUAAGGACGAUUAUUUGGCCUAAAGCGUCCGUAGCCGGCUUGGUAAGUCUUUCGUUAAAUCCGACGAUUCCAUCGUCGGGCCGCGGAAGAUACUGCUAGGCUUGAGGACGGGAGAGGUCGACGGUAGUCCCAGGGUAGGGGUGAAAUCCUAUAAUCCUGGGAGGACCACCAGUGGCGAAGGCGGUCGACUAGAACGUGCCUGACGGUGAUGGACGAAAGCUGGGGGAGCGAACCGGAUUAGACACCCGGGUAGUCCCAGCUGUAAACGAUGCGAGCUAGGUGUUAGAGCAACUAUGGGUUGCUCUAGUGCCGCAGAGAAGUUGUUAAGCUCGCCGCCUGGGAAGUACGGCCGCAAGGCUGAAACUUAAAGGAAUUGGCGGGGGAGCACAAUCA
This 815-nucleotide ribosomal RNA is filed under the name uncultured archaeon. Its description in RNAcentral is "bacterial SSU rRNA". It matches the Rfam family "Archaeal small subunit ribosomal RNA", at positions 84 to 884 of the family's 1478-position model. The record is from RNAcentral.